CCUACGGGAGGCAGCAGUGGGGAAUAUUGCACAAUGGGGGGAACCCUGAUGCAGCGACGCCGCGUGGGUGAAGAAGUAUUUCGGUAUGUAAAGCUCUAUCAUCAGGGAAGAACAAUGACGGUACCUGACUAAGAAGCCCCGGCGAAAUACGUGCCAGCAGCCGCGGUAAUACGUAUGGUGCAAGCGUUAUCCGGAUUUACUGGGUGUAAAGGGAGCGCAGGCGGCGCGUUAAGCCUGGUGUGAAAGCCCGCGGCCCAACCGCGGGACUGCAUUGGGAACUGGCGCGCUGGAGUGCAGGAGAGGUAGGCGGAAUGCCUAGUGUAGCGGUGAAAUGCGUAGAUAUUAGGAGGAACACCAGUGGCGAAGGCGGCUUACUGGACGGUGACUGACGCUGAGGCUCGAAAGCGUGGGGAGCAAACAGGAUUAGAUACCCCAGUAGUC
Molecule: ribosomal RNA, 441 nt
Filed under: uncultured bacterium
Lineage: Bacteria
Description: partial 16S ribosomal RNA
Rfam family: Bacterial small subunit ribosomal RNA
Source: RNAcentral